RNAcentral lists this ribosomal RNA (467 nucleotides) under uncultured bacterium. RNAcentral's name for it is "partial 16S ribosomal RNA". It matches the Rfam family "Bacterial small subunit ribosomal RNA", at positions 28 to 506 of the family's 1533-position model. The record is from RNAcentral.
GACGAACGCUGGCGGCGUGCUUAACGCAUGCAAGUCGAACGGAAAGGCCCUGCUUUUGUGGGGUGCUCGAGUGGCGAACGGGUGAGUAACACGUGAGUAACCUGCCCUUGACUUUGGGAUAACUUCAGGAAACUGGGGCUAAUACCGGAUAGGAGCUCCUGCUGCAUGGUGGGGGUUGGAAAGUUUCGGCGGUUGGGGAUGGACUCGCGGCUUAUCAGCUUGUUGGUGGGGUAGUGGCUUACCAAGGCUUUGACGGGUAGCCGGCCUGAGAGGGUGACCGGCCACAUUGGGACUGGGAUACGGCCCAGACUCCUACGGGAGGCAGCAGUGGGGAAUAUUGCACAAUGGGCGGAAGCCUGAUGCAGCAACGCCGCGUGCGGGAUGACGGCCUUCGGGUGGUAAACCGCUUUCGCCUGUGACGAAGCGUGAGUGACGGUAAUGGGUAAAGAAGCACCGGCUAACUACGU